GACCCUGGCUCAGGAUGAACGCUAGCUACAGGCUUAACACAUGCAAGUCGAGGGGAAACGAUAUUGGAAGCUUGCUUCCGAUAGGCGUCGACCGGCGCACGGGUGAGUAACGCGUAUCCAACCUGCCCACCACUUGGGGAUAACCUUGCAAAAGUAAGACUAAUACCCAAUGACGUCUCUAGAAGACAUCUGAAAGAGAUUAAAGAUUUAUCGGUGAUGGAUUGGGAUGCGUCUGAUUAG
RNAcentral lists this ribosomal RNA (240 nucleotides) under uncultured bacterium. Its description in RNAcentral is "partial 16S ribosomal RNA". It matches the Rfam family "Bacterial small subunit ribosomal RNA", at positions 15 to 244 of the family's 1533-position model. The record is from RNAcentral.